CAGGAAGCCGCGAACGCCGCCGAGUGUCUGCACACCUCGCUCUGCCUGCCAUGGCUGGUUAAAGAACCAUCCGGAUCGCAGCGCGGGGGGAGGGCCGGGUGGGGGGAGCAGCGGCCGCGCGUGAGGCCGAGGGAGGGGCGGCGGCGCGAGCGGCGGCGGCGGCGGUUCCAGCAUGAAGAGGAGAGCUGGCCUGGGGGGCAGCAUGAGGUCAGUGGUGGGCUUCUUGUCCCAGCGGGGCUUGCAUGGGGACCCCCUGCUCACUCAGGACUUUCAGAGGAGACGCCUGCGGGGCUGCAGAAACCUCUACAAGAAGGACCUCCUCGGCCACUUCGGCUGUGUCAAUGCCAUUGAAUUCUCCAACAAUGGAGGCCAGUGGCUGGUCUCAGCUAUCCCCUUUUCCAGGGCACAGUGAGGCCAGCAGAUAUUGAGUAAACCGGAGAAAAUCAGGAAGGAGAAAAGGAGGAGAUGACCGCCGGGUUCUGCUAUGGCACAUGGAACAAGCCAUCCACUCCAGGGUCAAGCCCAUACAGCUGAAAGGAGAGCACCAUUCCAACAUUUUUUGCCUGGCUUUCAACAGUGGGAACACUAAAGUGUUCUCUGGAGGCAAUGAUGAGCAAGUUAUCCUCCAUGAUGUUGAAAGGUAAAUAGAUUGGUGGUGUGUGAAGGUGAUUGACUUUGUUUUUCAUAUAUGAAGAGGCAAAUAUCUCUUUAGACUAAAAUAGUUUUUGUUUUUUGA
This 736-nucleotide long non-coding RNA is filed under the name Homo sapiens (human). Its description in RNAcentral is "non-protein coding lnc-DCAF5-3:1". Lineage: Eukaryota; Metazoa; Chordata; Mammalia; Primates; Hominidae. The record is from RNAcentral.